Molecule: small nucleolar RNA, 88 nt
Filed under: Otolemur garnettii (small-eared galago)
Lineage: Eukaryota; Metazoa; Chordata; Mammalia; Primates; Galagidae
Source: RNAcentral
CUCCUUUUAAAAGCACUCAAUGGGCCUUUUCUAAUACCUCAUUGAGCUGUCAAGAAAGGGCAAAUUGGCUCAGCUUGAGCGGCUAAGG